This 87-nucleotide ribosomal RNA is filed under the name Cremanthodium atrocapitatum. RNAcentral describes it as "partial 5.8S ribosomal RNA". It matches the Rfam family "5.8S ribosomal RNA", at positions 73 to 154 of the family's 154-position model. Rfam says of the family: 5.8S ribosomal RNA (5.8S rRNA) is a component of the large subunit of the eukaryotic ribosome. Lineage: Eukaryota; Viridiplantae; Streptophyta; Magnoliopsida; Asterales; Asteraceae. The record is from RNAcentral.
UGCAGAAUCCCGUGAACCAUCGAGUUUUUGAACGCAAGUUGCGCCCGAAGCCUUUUGGUCGAGGGCACGUCUGCCUGGGCGUCACAC